CCAGGCCAGCCCCAGGCCUGCCUGGCCAGACCCGCCAGACCCGGUGGCCGCACCCACUCCACCACAGGGGCCCAGCCAAUGAGCCACCUCCCCUGUGCUUUUGAAAGGGGAUCCAGCCAGGAAUGGUUACAGGAGCUCUCUGAGCAGGCUGUGAAGGGCAGGGGCAGCUGGGCGGCCUGACUAUUUGGGGCUCUGCAGGCCGGGUUCCCUCCCUUCGCUGUUCUGUGCAGGGGCCCAGAGUCCAGCCCUGGGACUCAUGCCCGACCAGGACUCACGACCCAUCCCGGAGCGGAUCUACGACCUCAGAAUCGACUCCAAAGACAGGCUUCGGCAUCUUGCUCCCCACCCUUGAGAGCAGAAAGCACCAAAAUAGCAGCGUGAAUCACUCGGAAACUGUCAUGUAAUGCACGGGCCAGGACACCUUCUGCGGCACAGCUUCUGCUUGUGUUCCAGGAAUCUGGGGAAGGGGACACUGGCGGACUGCAUCACCGCCUCCCCGGCCCACUCGAGAGAGCUCUGAAUCUACAAAGAGAUUUGAAGAAGCCCAAGUCGGUAAAAAAUUGCGGCUUUCAAAAUUUUGUUUUGGGUCUGACAAUACUUGAGUGUGGAUUAUUUUGUCCUGUCCUCAGAAUAACCUUGGGAAGUCCUUGGAACUUCAUCAUCUCCAUUUACAGGCAAGGACACUAGAGCAUAGAAAAAGCCUUCUUUGGGUUCCUUGAAAAUUUCAAACUUGUUUUAACCUCAGGGCCUUUGCACCUUCUGUUGUCCUGUCUGGAACUCUGUUCCUGGCUGGCUUCUCAUCACUCCAGGUCCAAGGGGCCUUCACUACUAACCACCUGCCUCUAGGAGCUCCUUCCUUCCCUGCUUCCCUGGUUACUCUCUAUCCCUUAUCUUUUGAUAUUUUUAUAGGACUCAUCACUCUUUAGUUAUCUUCAUUUCUAUAUUUGUUCUUAACAAACGCAUAUAGUGCUUGCUCUUUAGGCAGGCAACGUUCUAAGUGCUUUACAAAUAUCAAACAAUUUGGGCGCCUGGGUAGCUCAGUGGGUUGGGCAUCGGGCUCUUGAUUUCG
This is a long non-coding RNA of Prionailurus viverrinus (fishing cat), 1069 nucleotides long. RefSeq lists it as uncharacterized. Lineage: Eukaryota; Metazoa; Chordata; Mammalia; Carnivora; Felidae. The transcript is spliced from 3 exons. The record is from RefSeq and is a predicted model, not a curated record.